Molecule: ribosomal RNA, 242 nt
Filed under: uncultured bacterium
Lineage: Bacteria
Description: partial 16S ribosomal RNA
Rfam family: Bacterial small subunit ribosomal RNA
Source: RNAcentral
AGAGUUUGAUCAUGGCUCAGGAUGAACGCUGGCGGCGUGCCUAACACAUGCAAGUCGAACGGAACGAAGGGAGCUUGCUCCCUGAAGUUUAGUGGCGGACGGGUGAGUAACGCGUGAGCAAUCUGCCUUUCAGAGGGGGACAACACCGGGAAACUGGUGCUAAUACCGCAUAACGUAUGAGGGUCGCAUGGUCCACAUACCAAAGGAGCAAUCCGCUGAAAGAUGAGCUCGCGUCUGAUUAG